Pelobates cultripes (western spadefoot toad) is the source of this 955-nucleotide non-coding RNA. NCBI's taxonomy places the organism in Eukaryota, Metazoa, Chordata, Amphibia, Anura, Pelobatidae. The record is from the annotation of a GenBank genome assembly.
CAACAUUCCGAUGUUCUUGUUGUAUAUUCUGGUAGGUAUAUUGGUUAAACUCACUCUUGGCAUACAGUUUGAUGUCAUCCAUGUAGAGGAGGUGGUUCAUUGGAGCUCUGCUCUUGAACCUGUGUCUUUAUGAUUACCUGGUUGAGCUGAUUGAGACCUGUGUAGGAUGGCAUGAGGAUAGCGCAUCAACUUGGUAUAUGCCAUGUUUAAUGUUUAUUUGUGUUAUUGUCCUGGAAUUGACUUAUAGUGUUGCUCUCCACUUGCAUAGUGAGGUCUUGAGGAAUGCUCUUAGUGUCUUGCUGAUAUGGUAUACUAUCCAAGCAAUCCAGGAUCUAUGUGUGUGGCAUUGUGCCAUAGGAUUUUUUGUAGUUAAUCCAGGCUGUGCACAGAUUGGUCUUUUUAGUCUUUGAAUCCUACGUGACUGCUUGGUCUACCAGUACCUAGUGUUUUGAGUUUUUGAUGUUUCCAAUCCCCUUCUGUGUAUUGCUCAUGUAUUGACACAUAUUCUCAUCGGAGGUUAUGUUGCCUAAGAGGACCUUUCAUUUUGUGGGGAGGCAGGUGAUUAGUCAGUAGUUAGAAGGUGUUGUUCCCUUAAGAGGCUCCUUCAUGAUCAGUUCUGUUCUGCUUUGUGGUAGCCAGUCGGAGUGGGAGCCUGCUGUAAGUAGCUGGUUCGUUUGUGCUACUAGGCGCUCAUACAGCAUUGCUCAUUUCUUUAUCCCGUAGGUUUGGGUCAUAUCAGUUCCUGGUACUGACAAACUCUUCAAGUGGGUUACUUAUUGGGCAACUCCUACUGUGAUGGUGACUGGUUCAUGUUCUUCUUUUUGCAGUGGUUUGCUUUCAGGUCUAGUAACAACUGGGCCUUGGUGGCUUGGUCCUUUCUACCAGAUGUGCUUCCAGUACUAUUCAGUCUUAGCUUUUUGGUGGAUAUGUUUUUACGCUGCAGCUGUGAAUACAU